CGGAGAGUGGUGUAACGGUAGCACGAGUCCUUUGGGAGGAUUUAGUUCGGGUUCAAAUCCCGACUCUCCGA
RNAcentral lists this transfer RNA (71 nucleotides) under Candidatus Nealsonbacteria bacterium RBG_13_42_11. Its description in RNAcentral is "tRNA-Pro". It matches the Rfam family "tRNA". From Rfam's summary of the family: Transfer RNA (tRNA) molecules are approximately 80 nucleotides in length. Their secondary structure includes four short double-helical elements and three loops (D, anti-codon, and T loops). Further hydrogen bonds mediate the characteristic L-shaped molecular structure. tRNAs have two regions of fundamental functional importance: the anti-codon, which is responsible for specific mRNA codon recognition, and the 3' end, to which the tRNAs corresponding amino acid is attached (by aminoacyl-tRNA synthetases). tRNAs cope with the degeneracy of the genetic code in two manners: having more than one tRNA (with a specific anti-codon) for a particular amino acid; and 'wobble' base-pairing, i.e. permitting non-standard base-pairing at the 3rd anti-codon position. The record is from RNAcentral. Lineage: Bacteria; Candidatus Nealsoniibacteriota.